AUGAUUGGGAGGAGCUUUAACAAAAGACUGUGAGUACGAUUAGAUUAACGUUAGCCUCAAAUGUGAAGUACAAUGUCUUAGAGGAGACUUCGCCAGCUAUUUUGUGAAAAAAAUUGAAAAGCCUAUACAUGUCAAAGUCACUCACAAAUCGUUUAUACUUAAAGAAGGAGUUAUACUAACUCAAAAUAGAUUAAGGUACUG
RNAcentral lists this unclassified non-coding RNA (201 nucleotides) under Hevea brasiliensis (rubber tree). The record is from RNAcentral. Lineage: Eukaryota; Viridiplantae; Streptophyta; Magnoliopsida; Malpighiales; Euphorbiaceae.